Long non-coding RNA from Rhipicephalus microplus (southern cattle tick), 3380 nucleotides. RefSeq lists it as uncharacterized. Lineage: Eukaryota; Metazoa; Arthropoda; Arachnida; Ixodida; Ixodidae. The record is from RefSeq and is a predicted model, not a curated record.
GAGGCGUUGGUCAAGGUUAAUUUUGGUGGUGUGCGGCGGUGUGUAUGGAUUGCGGUAAUAUUCUUUGUCAAUAUAGUUCUGUGGCAGUGAUUCUCGGCUGACCGAUCCUUCAAAGGGGGGAGAUCAAGCGCCGUGGGUGUUUCGUGCAAGCGGUGUGCAGUGGGUAGUACCACUCUUCUCGAAGAAUGACAAAGGAUGCAUUGUGAAUGCCUGCCUACUAUACAAUUAUUAAUGGCAUGAUUUGUGCUCUUUCAACAGUCCACCAACUGCAGAUGUUGAGCGACCUCGCCAAAGAAGUUUUUUGUGUUGUGAACAGUGUGACUAUAAGACACUGCAUUUGAGCCAUUUCAAAACACAUACCAUGCGUCACACAGGAGAGCGACCGCAUGAAUGUCACUUGUGCCCCCAGAGAUUUUUACGAAGCCACCAUCUUGAAGAUCACGUGCGCACACACACGGGUGAACGGCCAUAUCAAUGCACCAAAUGCCUCAAGAGCUUCCGUACAAAGAAAACUCUAUCUCAACACGUGCGCAUUCAUACGGGCGAGCGUGCGUAUCAAUGCCACGUAUGCCUCAAGACCUUUGUACAACAGUCCUCACUGUACACCCACCGCAAAAUGCAUACAACCAAGCAUUCGCAUCUGUAACCUUCGUGCGCUGAGACGUUCGUGCAGAGUGUCCACUUAAGAAGACACCUCGAUCGGCCUGAAUGUGAGUGAUCAUAUCGGUGAAAGUUCGAUUGAAGGCUCACUUCACGGAUUAUUUCAAAGAAUUGUGGCAGUGCAGAUUUAUGUAGGCCUUUUAAAGCUGUGAGCUUUAGUUACGAUACCUUGGCUUCAUUAUUCGGAGCAAAGCAUAGUUAUUCAUGAAGUAAAGUCUCACAUGAAUAUUUUUAUUGUGCUCUAUUACUGAGUUGUUCAUUAACCAGUUUAGUACUAAGUUCACCAGUUUGUACUAAGCUCUAGGAAAAAAUUUUUUUGUACUGAUAUGCCACAGCACUUCUGCUUUGUCAAUUUAAGAUUUUUUGUGGUUCGAAUUCCUAACCUCCUCAAUGACUAUACCUUUACUAUAGAUCUCAAAUCCAGAAUGCGAAAGCAAGCAUAUCAAAAAACAAUCAAAGAAUUCUUAUUUUGAGAAGACUGAUGCAAAUAAAAAUAUACUAUGGUUCUGUAUGAAUGUUAUACAUUGUCCAUUUUUCUUUUUCUCUGCCCACAUGUGGAUUGCGAGCCCUACAAGUUGUUCUAAAAUUUUUUUGUAUGUGUGUUUAGAUGAGUAUAAUGCGAUUUUCUUUUUCUGCUCGAGAGUAGUGCGUACAUUUUUUUAAAUUGUACUUAUGUUUUCUUCUCUUUUUUGCUAUAUGACUGUGUAAUAUUGAUCAGAGGUGCAGUAUUUGAUUUCCAUGUACCCUUCUAUAUUUGUGAAUUUCUUUCUCUGGCUACUGCUGUAUGAGUGGCACGGGCCAGUCAGGCAAUGUCUGCCUUUUCCCGUGCCUCCUUGCACAAUUUUGUAAUUGUUCUCAAUAAAUUAAUAAAGAAAGAAAUCUUGAACAAGCAUAAACAGACACGAAACAAAGCACUUAACAGGUCAUCAUCUGUGUGCUUGUACAUUAUGUAAUAAUUAUUGUUAUCAUUUGAAUAUCCACAUAUGUGAUCGUGAUGCUUCACGGCAUUUUAAACAAUCAGGGACAGUUGCUACAGCAUAUGGAAGCAUUCAGUGGGUGAAACAAAAUAAACACAAAAACUUAAGCACAACUGAAUUAUUGUAUUGUCUUUUUGUUUUUGUGUUUCUUGUUCCUCCCGUUGUGUGCUUCUUUAUGCCGUAUUUAUCAACCUACAUGCCCACAAGUACAAUGUGAUCAGGGAAAAUAAGUGUGAUUGCAGUAACUACUAUGUCAACAGUGCAAGCAAUCUCUUGACAUCAAUAUCGUGGUUCAUAUAAAGUCCGUGUGCAAAUCAAUCGAGUCGCAUCCCACACUUUUAGUGCUGAGGAAUGUUGAAAAACGAGUGCAAGAAAGAGCACUAUCAUCACUCGCUUAAGCAUCUGGGAAAUAAAUGUAGAACAGAGUGCUGGCAUUGCAGGGAGUGGAACUCUGCCAUGCAGGUGUUGAUGCAAGGCACAACAUGUUGGGUGAGGUUUUCAGGGGAAUGAUGUGUCAUCUUGUGACCACUUCUUUGCACAAUAUGAAGUGACAGUGAAGACGGUACCGUCAUCGCACUUACUGUGGACACUUAUUUCUUGGUCAGCACUGUGCCACCAAGUGUUCACUGUCCUGUCUCUUGAGCGGUUCUGCCAUAACACUCAGCUUACAUUUCAAGUGAUCAACGAAUGUUUCCAAGGCUGUGCCAGCAAAGAUUUGUGGUCGCUUCGUGUGUGCACUUUUUGUCAACUUCUCCAAAACUCUGCUUGCCCAAUGUAGCUCUCUUUAAGCUCUCUUUAUCUUAGACAGAAUAAGGAGGGGCAAUCAUAUGUCUUUCAAUCUGUUACCUUCAUUCUUCCUAAGAGUAUUGUGAGUUACUGCUGGCAUUUUUCAAGUACUGUUAGUGUUCGCUUGUUGAUGUAAGUCAUUAUGCUCUUACAUUUAAUGACACCAUUAAUAACACCAUGUCAAUCACCAUCAUGCACUGAGGUCUUUGUGGAAGCUGUCCACUUUACAAGUAAUCUCAAUCAACAUGAUUGUAAGCAAUGAUAUCAACGAAGGUGCUGUUUUUGAAGCUAUUUAAGUGCCACGCUUGGUAGAUUGUUUCAGAGAAACGAGGCAGUGCUGAGUUACAGUGGGUCUUGUGAGAACUGUACCUUGUCGCGAUACACUGGCUGCAACAUUGUGAGCAGAGCAAUGUAAUGCAUGCCGUAAAGUCUCACAUUAUUAUUUUUGUUAUGCUUCACUGCUGUCACGCUCAUUAAUCAAUCUGUUAUUCAGUUUGUAAUAAGCUGUAUGAAAAUAUAUAUUUGUACUGAUGAGGUAACACACCUUUGCUUAGUCAAUUCGGGGUAUUUUGUGUGGAAGCUUGAGCAGACACGGAACAAUUAUUCUGGCUAGCAAGCCAUCAUCUUUGCAUGUGUACUAUAUGUCCUAAUAAGAUUAUCAUUACGGAAUCUUCAGGCGUGUCCGUGAUGCUUCACAGCUUUCUGACUAAUCGGGGCAAAUUGUUACGCCAUGUGGUAGCGCAUAGUGGACGGAGAGACGAACACAAAGACAACAUAGUGCUUGUAUUCUUUUUAUUUUCAAUGUUUGUUGUUUCUCCUGUUGUGCUCUACUAUAGGUCAGGAUAAACUAACUAGCCAAAAAGUACAAUUUAAUAAGGGAGGACACUCAUUGAAAAAUGUGUUCCAAUAACCACAAGUCUUAAUGUAAUAGCAGUGCAUUAAAUCUCUUGACAUCAA